Molecule: non-coding RNA, 29 nt
Filed under: Rattus norvegicus (Norway rat)
Lineage: Eukaryota; Metazoa; Chordata; Mammalia; Rodentia; Muridae
Source: RNAcentral
UUCCUGAAUACUGUUGCUGACUCUAAUAA